RNAcentral lists this ribosomal RNA (2759 nucleotides) under Enterobacter cloacae. RNAcentral describes it as "bacterial LSU rRNA". It matches the Rfam family "Bacterial large subunit ribosomal RNA". The record is from RNAcentral. Lineage: Bacteria; Pseudomonadati; Pseudomonadota; Gammaproteobacteria; Enterobacterales; Enterobacteriaceae.
ACUAUCGUUAACUGAAUACAUAGGUUAACGAGGCGAACCGGGGGAACUGAAACAUCUAAGUACCCCGAGGAAAAGAAAUCAACCGAGAUUCCCCCAGUAGCGGCGAGCGAACGGGGAGCAGCCCGGAGUCUGAAUCAGCUUGUGUGUUAGUGGAACGGUCUGGAAAGUCCGACGGUACAGGGUGAUAGUCCCGUACACGAAAGCACACUUGCUGUGAACUCGAAGAGUAGGGCGGGACACGUGGUAUCCUGUCUGAAUAUGGGGGGACCAUCCUCCAAGGCUAAAUACUCCUGACUGACCGAUAGUGAACCAGUACCGUGAGGGAAAGGCGAAAAGAACCCCGGCGAGGGGAGUGAAAAAGAACCUGAAACCGUGUACGUACAAGCAGUGGGAGCACCUUCGUGGUGUGACUGCGUACCUUUUGUAUAAUGGGUCAGCGACUUAUAUUCUGUAGCAAGGUUAACCGUAUAGGGGAGCCGAAGGGAAACCGAGUCUUAACUGGGCGUUAAGUUGCAGGGUAUAGACCCGAAACCCGGUGAUCUAGCCAUGGGCAGGUUGAAGGUUGGGUAACACUAACUGGAGGACCGAACCGACUAAUGUUGAAAAAUUAGCGGAUGACCUGUGGCUGGGGGUGAAAGGCCAAUCAAACCGGGAGAUAGCUGGUUCUCCCCGAAAGCUAUUUAGGUAGCGCCUCGUGAACUCAUCUUCGGGGGUAGAGCACUGUUUCGGCUAGGGGGCCAUCCCGGCUUACCAACCCGAUGCAAACUACGAAUACCGAAGAAUGUUAUCACGGGAGACACACGGCGGGUGCUAACGUCCGUCGUGAAGAGGGAAACAACCCAGACCGCCAGCUAAGGUCCCAAAGUCAUGGUUAAGUGGGAAACGAUGUGGGAAGGCACAGACAGCCAGGAUGUUGGCUUAGAAGCAGCCAUCAUUUAAAGAAAGCGUAAUAGCUCACUGGUCGAGUCGGCCUGCGCGGAAGAUGUAACGGGGCUAAACCAUGCACCGAAGCUGCGGCAGCGACACUAUGUGUUGUUGGGUAGGGGAGCGUUCUGUAAGCCGUUGAAGGUGUGCUGUGAGGCAUGCUGGAGGUAUCAGAAGUGCGAAUGCUGACAUAAGUAACGAUAAAGCGGGUGAAAAGCCCGCUCGCCGGAAGACCAAGGGUUCCUGUCCAACGUUAAUCGGGGCAGGGUGAGUCGACCCCUAAGGCGAGGCCGAAAGGCGUAGUCGAUGGGAAACAGGUUAAUAUUCCUGUACUUGGUGUUACUGCGAAGGGGGGACGGAGAAGGCUAUGUCAGCCGGGCGACGGUUGUCCCGGUUUAAGCAUGUAGGCGGAGGUUCCAGGUAAAUCCGGUACCUUAUUAACGCUGAGGUGUGAUGACGAGGCACUACGGUGCUGAAGUGAUAAAUGCCCUGCUUCCAGGAAAAGCCUCUAAGCAUCAGGUAACACGAAAUCGUACCCCAAACCGACACAGGUGGUCAGGUAGAGAAUACCAAGGCGCUUGAGAGAACUCGGGUGAAGGAACUAGGCAAAAUGGUGCCGUAACUUCGGGAGAAGGCACGCUGAUGUGUAGGUGAAGUCCCUGCGGACGGAGCUGAAAUCAGUCGAAGAUACCAGCUGGCUGCAACUGUUUAUUAAAAACACAGCACUGUGCAAACACGAAAGUGGACGUAUACGGUGUGACGCCUGCCCGGUGCCGGAAGGUUAAUUGAUGGGGUUAGCUGUAAGGCGAAGCUCUUGAUCGAAGCCCCGGUAAACGGCGGCCGUAACUAUAACGGUCCUAAGGUAGCGAAAUUCCUUGUCGGGUAAGUUCCGACCUGCACGAAUGGCGUAAUGAUGGCCAGGCUGUCUCCACCCGAGACUCAGUGAAAUUGAACUCGCUGUGAAGAUGCAGUGUACCCGCGGCAAGACGGAAAGACCCCGUGAACCUUUACUAUAGCUUGACACUGAACACUGGUCCUUGAUGUGUAGGAUAGGUGGGAGGCUUUGAAGCGUGGACGCCAGUCUGCGUGGAGCCGCCCUUGAAAUACCACCCUUUAAUGGCUGGUGUUCUAACGUAGACCCGUAAUCCGGGUUGCGGACAGUGUCUGGUGGGUAGUUUGACUGGGGCGGUCUCCUCCCAAAGAGUAACGGAGGAGCACGAAGGUUGGCUAAUCCUGGUCGGACAUCAGGAGGUUAGUGCAAUGGCAUAAGCCAGCUUGACUGCGAGCGUGACGGCGCGAGCAGGUGCGAAAGCAGGUCAUAGUGAUCCGGUGGUUCUGAAUGGAAGGGCCAUCGCUCAACGGAUAAAAGGUACUCCGGGGAUAACAGGCUGAUACCGCCCAAGAGUUCAUAUCGACGGCGGUGUUUGGCACCUCGAUGUCGGCUCAUCACAUCCUGGGGCUGAAGUAGGUCCCAAGGGUAUGGCUGUUCGCCAUUUAAAGUGGUACGCGAGCUGGGUUUAGAACGUCGUGAGACAGUUCGGUCCCUAUCUGCCGUGGGCGCUGGAGAAUUGAGGGGGGCUGCUCCUAGUACGAGAGGACCGGAGUGGACGCAUCACUGGUGUUCGGGUUGUCAUGCCAAUGGCACUGCCCGGUAGCUAAAUGCGGAAGAGAUAAGUGCUGAAAGCAUCUAAGCACGAAACUUGCCCCGAGAUGAGUUCUCCCUGAGACUUUAAGUCUCCUGAAGGAACGUUGAAGACGACGACGUUGAUAGGUCGGGUGUGUAAGCGCAGCGAUGCGUUGAGCUAACCGAUACUAAUGAACCGUGAGGCUUAACC